This 490-nucleotide ribosomal RNA is filed under the name uncultured bacterium. Its description in RNAcentral is "partial 16S ribosomal RNA". It matches the Rfam family "Bacterial small subunit ribosomal RNA", at positions 30 to 507 of the family's 1533-position model. The record is from RNAcentral.
AUUGAACGCUGGCGGCAGGCCUAACACAUGCAAGUCAAACGGUAACAGGAAGAAGCUUGCUUCUUUGCUGACGAGUGGCGGACGGGUGAGUAAUGUCUGGGAAACUGCCUGAUGGAGGGGGAUAACUACUGGAAACGGUAGCUAAUACCGCAUAACGUCGCAAGCCCAAAGAGGGGGACCUUCGGGCCUCUUGCCAUCGGAUGUGCCCAGAUGGGAUUAGCUAGUAGGUGGGGUAACGGCUCACCUAGGCGACGAUCCCUAGCUGGUCUGAGAGGAUGACCAGCCACACUGGAACUGAGACACGGUCCAGACUCCUACGGGAGGCAGCAGUGGGGAAUAUUGCACAAUGGGCGCAAGCCUGAUGCAGCCAUGCCGCGUGUAUGAAGAAGGCCUUCGGGUUGUAAAGUACUUUCAGCGGGGAGGAAGGGAGUAAAGUUAAUACCUUUGCUCAUUGACGUUACCCGCAGAAGAAGCACCGGCUAACUCCGUG